GUAGGGGGCAAGCGUUAUCCGGAUUUACUGGGUGUAAAGGGAGCGUAGACGGUUUUGCAAGUCUGAAGUGAAAGCCCGGGGCUUAACCCCGGGACUGCUUAGGAAACUGUAGGACUAGAGUGCAGGAGAGGUAAGUGGAAUUCCUAGUGUAGCGGUGAAAUGCGUAGAUAUUAGGAGGAACACCAGUGGCGAAGGCGGCUUACUGGACGGUAACUGACGUUGAGGCUCGAAAGCGUGGGGAGCAAACAGGAUUAGAUACCCUGGUAGUCCACGCCGUAAACGAUGACUACUAGGUGUCGGGCAGCANANCUGUUCGGUGCCGCAGCAAACGCAAUAAGUAGUCCACCUGGGGAGU
Molecule: ribosomal RNA, 355 nt
Filed under: uncultured bacterium
Lineage: Bacteria
Description: bacterial SSU rRNA
Rfam family: Bacterial small subunit ribosomal RNA
Source: RNAcentral